UUAUACCGUGAAACUGCGAAUGGCUCAUUAAAUCAGUUAUCGUUUAUUUGAUAGUACCUUACUACUUGGAUAACCGUGGUAAUUCUAGAGCUAAUACAUGCUAAAAACCCCGACUUCGGGAGGGGUGUAUUUAUUAGAUAAAAAACCAAUGCCCUUCCGGGCUCUUUGGUGAUUCAUGAUAACUUCUCAGAUCGCAUGGCCUUGCGCCGGCGACGGUUCAUUCAAAUUUCUGCCCUAUCAACUUUCGAUGGUAAGGUAUUGGCUUACCAUGGUUUCAACGGGUAACGGGGAAUUAGGGUUCGAUUCCGGAGAGGGAGCCUGAGAAACGGCUACCACAUCCAAGGAAGGCAGCAGGCGCGCAAAUUACCCAAUCCCGACACGGGGAGGUAGUGACAAUAAAUACUGAUACAGGGCUCUUUUGGGUCUUGUAAUUGGAAUGAGUACAAUUUAAACCUCUUAACGAGGAACAAUUGGAGGGCAAGUCUGGUGGAUUUCAGUCCUAUUUUGCUGACGCCAGAGAUAGUCGGGCCAUCCUUCCGGGGAGGUUACGCCGGCUAGUCGAGUACCCGCUAUAUGAUGGGGGGGUACCGGCGAGACAACCUGGAUCGGGGAAGGCUAAAGCCAGAAAGGCUAUGCUAAUCCCGAGCAGAGCUCCUAUGUAGCAAUAUGUAGGCAGCCUGUGUAGAGCGCGGUAAGGUGUCGGUCAGCUCACGUAGCUGGCUUAAGGUACGUGCCAUUCCCAUCCGAAAGGGUGGCUGUCAGUUCGAGCGCCCAUCACGCGAAGACUGGCGGAUUCAAACUGGAAUGUAAGUUUGAAGUGAACAAAAAGGCCAGCAGCCGCGGUAAUUCCAGCUCCAAUAGCGUAUAUUAAAGUUGUUGCAGUUAAAAAGCUCGUAGUUGAACCUUUGGCCUGGCUGGCAGGUCCGCCUCACCGCGUGCACUUGACCGGCCGGGCCUUCUUUUCUGGAGAACCGCAUGCCCUUCACUGGGUGUGUUGGGGACCAGGACUUUUACUUUGAAAAAAUUAGAGUGUUCAAAGCAGGCCUUUGCUCGAAUACGUUAGCAUGGAAUAAUAGAAUAGGACGCGCGGUCCUAUUUUGUUGGUUUCUAGGACCGCCGUAAUGAUUAAUAGGGACAGUCGGGGGCAUCAGUAUUCAAUUGUCAGAGGUGAAAUUCUUGGAUUUAUUGAAGACUAACUACUGCGAAAGCAUUUGCCAAGGAUGUUUUCAUUAAUCAGUGAACGAAAGUUAGGGGAUCGAAGACGAUCAGAUACCGUCGUAGUCUUAACCAUAAACUAUGCCGACUAGGGAUCGGGCGGUGUUUCUAUUUUGACUCGCUCGGCACCUUACGAGAAAUCAAAGUGUU
This 1365-nucleotide ribosomal RNA is filed under the name Sulcatispora acerina. RNAcentral describes it as "bacterial SSU rRNA". It matches the Rfam family "Eukaryotic small subunit ribosomal RNA", at positions 74 to 1107 of the family's 1831-position model. Lineage: Eukaryota; Fungi; Ascomycota; Dothideomycetes; Pleosporales; Sulcatisporaceae. The record is from RNAcentral.